This 492-nucleotide ribosomal RNA is filed under the name Triticum aestivum (bread wheat). RNAcentral describes it as "partial small subunit ribosomal RNA". Lineage: Eukaryota; Viridiplantae; Streptophyta; Magnoliopsida; Poales; Poaceae. The record is from RNAcentral.
AUGGCUGGCGGCGAUCAUCAAAGUGAUGAUGACGAUUUCAUGGAUCCACCUCAACGUAACCGGGCAACUGGACGGAGAAAAGAGGGCGAUGAGAAGAAGAAACGUAUUUGCAACAGAGCCUCCCAGGAACGUCUGACCGUGUUGAUUGAGAAAUUCACUGACGAUCAAAAGGGAGCUGCUGCUGAGAUGGGUAUGCAGGUUCUGAUGGAUGUCCGGUGCACGAACCUUGUCAACCCGGUAUGCGACUGGCUUGGUGAGAUAUACGAUUCCGCCUCCAGGGAAUUCGUGAUCUCGGGACGGGGAAGACUCCCACUGAAUGAGGAAUCCGUGUUCUGCACUUUGGGUGUGCCUCGGGGACAUAUCAAAGUCCCGUACGAGGUUAAUAAUGAGAUCGAGGAAGAGCUGUUCGCCCGUUUGUUUCCUGGGUUGGAGGCAAUGCCGAACACGUCUGUACUGGCAGAUUCUCUGCAGGCCAUGACGACGCACGGAUAA